GACGAACGCUGGCGGCGUGCUUAACACAUGCAAGUCGAACGGAAAGGCCCUGCUUGCAGGGUACUCGAGUGGCGAACGGGUGAGUAACACGUGGGUGAUCUGCCCUGCACUUCGGGAUAAGCUUGGGAAACUGGGUCUAAUACCGGAUAGGAGCCAUCUUUAGUGUGGUGGUUGGAAAGUUUUUUCGGUGUAGGAUGAGCUCGCGGCCUAUCAGCUUGUUGGUGGGGUAAUGGCCUACCAAGGCGGCGACGGGUAGCCGGCCUGAGAGGGUGUACGGCCACAUUGGGACUGAGAUACGGCCCAGACUCCUACGGGAGGCAGCAGUGGGGAAUAUUGCGCAAUGGGCGCAAGCCUGAGGCAGCGACGCCGCGUGGGGGAUGAAGGCCUUCGGGUUGUAAACUCCUUUCGCUAGGGACGAAGCUUUUUUGUGACGGUACCUAGAUAAGAAGCACCGGCUAACUACGUG
Molecule: ribosomal RNA, 466 nt
Filed under: uncultured bacterium
Lineage: Bacteria
Description: partial 16S ribosomal RNA
Rfam family: Bacterial small subunit ribosomal RNA
Source: RNAcentral